GAUGAGCGCUGGCGGCGUGCCUAAUACAUGCAAGUCGAGCGAACGGACGAGAAGCUUGCUUCUCUGAUGUUAGCGGCGGACGGGUGAGUAACACGUGGAUAACCUACCUAUAAGACUGGGAUAACUUCGGGAAACCGGAGCUAAUACCGGAUGAUAUUUUGAACCGCAUGGUUCAAAAGUGAAAGACGGUCUUGCUGUCACUUAUAGAUGGAUCCGCGCUGCAUUAGCUAGUUGGUAAGGUAAUGGCUUACCAAGGCAACGAUGCAUAGCCGACCUGAGAGGGUGAUCGGCCACACUGGAACUGAGACACGGUCCAGACUCCUACGGGAGGCAGCAGUAGGGAAUCUUCCGCAAUGGGCGAAAGCCUGACGGAGCAACGCCGCGUGAGUGAUGAAGGUCUUCGGAUCGUAAAACUCUGUUAUUAGGGAAGAACAUAUGUGUAAGUAACUGUGCACAUCUUGACGGUACCUAAUCAGAAAGCCACGGCUAACUACGUG
RNAcentral lists this ribosomal RNA (497 nucleotides) under uncultured bacterium. RNAcentral describes it as "partial 16S ribosomal RNA". It matches the Rfam family "Bacterial small subunit ribosomal RNA", at positions 28 to 507 of the family's 1533-position model. The record is from RNAcentral.